AGGCCUCAAUUUUGUUCAUCUCCUGGAAAACAAACAAUUUAUAACAUAACAAGUAAAUAAUCAGUAUACGAACAAACUCCGCAUUUACCAUGUUUCAGUUGUUAUACAUAAAAUAUUUUCCAUUAUAUAUAUUUAUAUAUAUAAAGCCUCCUUGUUCUGUCAUUCAAAACUGGACUACCUCAAAGAAAUUUGGAUUCUAAAUAGCAGAGGGGGAAGAGAUAAUUCAUGGAACAAGCACCAACCAGCUCAGGCAAAGAUUUAAGUAGUUCAGCUGAGCCAGCUAAAACUGGCAUUUUAUCUAUACAAGAAAAUUAGUCUUAUUCAAUUGAAAAGCAAUUCGCUGGAAAGUUGGAAGAAAACUAUAUAUUCUUCUGAAAAAUUUUUCAGCCUCCUCCAACAUGCUAACAAAAAGUUCCGACCAAAUUUACUAUAAUACAGCAUAUAAUUAGUGGCCAUUCAUUAACUGCACUACUGUAGUGCCCACCAGUAACAGGCAUGGCAUUGUGGAGAAAAUGUAAAACAACGUCUUGGUGAAGACCACAUUUAGGUUUCCUUCUAAGACAUGCUUAACCAGGCAUCCCAGUGUUGAAGAUAAAGACUCCUCAAAUAUAUCUAGCCGAGCUGAUAAUGAGUUAUAAUGCUUUAAAUUUAAAAUACCAAAUUUAUAUUUGUCUACACUUCUGCUAUCUGAUGUGACCAGAGAAAGAAAUCACAAACGCUGCAUGUCAAAUUUCUACAAUGAAAAAAAAAGAAGAUGAACAGGAAAGAGAACACAAUUGAGACACACUGAUAAACUAAUGCAAUCGCAAAUGAAUCCAUAUUUAAUGGAAAUAGACAUUAUGAAAGGUAAUAUUCAAUUAGACAGUUGAUUCUUGAUCUACUCCAAUCAAUUUUCUUUACUUGAUCAAUCAUUGUCAUUAUAUGAUCUAAUUUGAUGUGAUAAAAAAACAGAAAAUAAAUAGAGUUUCCAACACUGUAAACGAGAAUUCACCCCCUGAUGUGUAGUUGGCACCCAAGAUUCCUUGGAACUUAUCAUGGGAUAAGAAAGUCUACAAACUUUGGUUACCAAAAUAAACAGCCUACUGGAGGGGAAAUGCAUAUACUCAAUUGGAGAUGGAAGUAGACAGUUUUGUCAUACCUCAAUCCAAGCAGCCAGAUUAG
RNAcentral lists this unclassified non-coding RNA (1161 nucleotides) under Hevea brasiliensis (rubber tree). Lineage: Eukaryota; Viridiplantae; Streptophyta; Magnoliopsida; Malpighiales; Euphorbiaceae. The record is from RNAcentral.